UGGGGAAUAUUGGACAAUGGGCGAAAGCCUGAUCCAGCAAUGCCGCGUGAAUGAUGAAGGCCUUAGGGUUGUAAAGUUCUUUUAGUAGGGAAGAUAAUGACGGUACCUACAGAAAAAGCCCCGGCUAACUUCGUGCCAGCAGCCGCGGUAAGACGAAGGGGGCUAGCGUUGUUCGGAAUUACUGGGCGUAAAGGGCGCGUAGGCGGCCUGAUAAGUUGGAAGUGAAAGCCCGGGGCUUAACCUCGGAAUUGCUUUCAAAACUAUCAGGCUUGAGUGUAGUAGGGGAUGAUGGAAUUUCUAGUGUAGAGGUGGAAUUCUUAGAUAUUAGAAGGAACACCGGUGGCGAAAGCGAUCAUCUGGGCUACAACUGACGCUGAGGCGCGAAAGCGUGGGGAGCAAA
This 400-nucleotide ribosomal RNA is filed under the name uncultured bacterium. RNAcentral's name for it is "bacterial SSU rRNA". It matches the Rfam family "Bacterial small subunit ribosomal RNA", at positions 355 to 772 of the family's 1533-position model. The record is from RNAcentral.